This is a long non-coding RNA of Brassica napus (rape), 1744 nucleotides long. RefSeq lists it as uncharacterized. The record is from RefSeq and is a predicted model, not a curated record. Lineage: Eukaryota; Viridiplantae; Streptophyta; Magnoliopsida; Brassicales; Brassicaceae. The transcript has 2 exons.
AUAUCCUUCUUAUUUCCUAUUGGUUAUCAUUGAGGGAUUACAAUCCAAACCCUUGGUUAGAAUGAAUAUAAUGGAUGUGAUUUCUAAACUUUUUUGUUCUUCCACACCUUCUCAAUUUUGUGAUGUAUAUUUCAAAUUUGCAAUAUUAUUCAUAACAAAUAAAGUUUGCUUAUCAUGUACAUUUGAUUAUUACAAAUAUAUAUGUUGUUUUUAUUGGUUUUUAGUUUUCUUAGAGAUUAUAGUAUAGGGUUUGGAAUUGAUUACAAGACAAAAACAAUGUUAUAGUUUUUAAGGGUUUAGAGUUUGUUUUUAGUUGGUCACUAGCUUUGUUGUAGUUUUAAGGGUUGUUGUUUUAGGGGUUAUAGUUUAGAGGUUAUAUAGUUUAGGGGUUAUAGUUUUAUGGGUAGAUUGUAGCUUUGUUAUAGUUUUAGGGGUUAUAAGUUAUAUAGUAUAUAAUUUAUAGUUUAUGGGUUACAUAUUUGGAUUUACAUAUACUUAAUUUAAUGUUAAAUAUGUUUCAUAAUAGUGUAAAAACAUUUUGGCUCCAUUAUUUAGAUUUUGGUUCCAUUUUUUGCCUCCUUUAUUUGGGCCAAAUAUUACUAAAGUAUCUUAUCUCUUUAACACUUAACGCAUUUUCACAGCUAAGCAAAAAAAACCCGAGUCUCUUUCUCCGAUCCCUCUCACAAACUCAUCGUCUCUUCGUCUCAAUCUCUCCUCCGCCAUGUUUACCGGUCAGUUUCUUCACGGCUUCCACUAGACAAACCUCUAACCGUCGUCGUCCACGGCCAGCUGAGUUAAAUCUCUUGGGUAAUUUCUAUUCUCAGCUCUUUCUUAGGCUUUCGAUUUGGGGUUUCUUAGGUGUGGGUUUUGAUUUGGCUUGACUAUCUGUUUCUGGGUUAGGGUUUCAAUUUUUGUUGACUAAUAUGUUUCUGUAUCAAUUAUCUCUGAUUAAGUUCUUGAUUAGGGUUUCAAUUCGAUUUGGGGGUUUCUUUCUUAGGGUUUUAAUUUUGGUUGACUAUCCGACUAAUCUUCUCUGUUUAUUUUCUGUCUGAUUUAUAUUGUCUCUGUCUAUCUUAUUUAUCUUCUGUCUGAUUUAUAUUGUCUAUGGUCUUGACUAUUAUUUAUCUUGUCUCUGGUGUCAUAGUCUUAUUAUAGUAGCUAGUUUAUAUUGUUAAUAGUCUCUGUGUUACUAUUUCGUUUUCUGUGUAUUGGUUCUUUGUGUUAUGGUUUAUGUGUUAUGAGGCUGGAAGAGGAGGAGAGAGCUCGGAGGCAGUGUCUGCGAGUGAUGAGAUGUUGUUGUAUAGAGGUUUUGAGAAGCCGAAAGAGAGAGACUGCACAGCUAAGAAGUGUGUCAGUAAAAUGAGCCAGAGCUGUCUUUAUGGCUGCGUUUUUGCACUCUGAUUUCAAGUUCGAGGGAACUUCGUGAAGCCUCUGAAGAAACAAGAGGAAAUGUGGGAGACAAACAUGAACUGGCUACUCACAAAAUUAAGCUAUGGUAUCUGACCUUUGUGGGUUCUUCCUUAAGGUUGGACAAAUUCUAGGCAAACUUGACAUGGCUCCAUCUGCAUGGGUGCGACUCAUCGACACUUCAUAUGUAUUACACGGUUUUUUUUUCAGCUUAAACUUUUGUUAGGUAAACAAAUUUUAGGCUUGUAUGAUGCUUUUUCUAACAUUUGCUUGUAAUACCUGAGGGUUAUGAAUCUGAGAUUUAUUUUUAUAAUAUAUUUUAUGUAUUUAUUUUUUA